This is a long non-coding RNA of Lolium rigidum, 2572 nucleotides long. RefSeq lists it as uncharacterized. The transcript has 4 exons. NCBI's taxonomy places the organism in Eukaryota, Viridiplantae, Streptophyta, Magnoliopsida, Poales, Poaceae. The record is from RefSeq and is a predicted model, not a curated record.
GUUUCUGCUUCAGCGCGGGCUCCCUGAUGGCGAGGCACGCGCCGUCACGUCCGCCUCCUGCGGGUACCCUUCUCAGCCUAAUUCGUCGACGGUGAGGUACCCAGCAUCCUGGCCUCCAGAAACAACAGAGGGAAUAGAGGCGAUUUAUGUUGCUUUGGCCAAGAAUCAAUGCCAUUUCCCACUCCAGUAGUUGUAAUGUGAGGCAAAAACCACCAAGAAGAUUGUGCUGAAACUGCAGUGCCAGAGCUGCAAGCACUGCUCCCAACGCGCCAUCAAGGCUUUGUCAGCUCGAAUUUUUGCUGUCAUGAAUGUUGCAAACGCAGGCAUAUCUUGUGUCAUGAGAAGGAUAUAAGAGGAGUGGAAAAUUUCCAGGAAAGGUGAGGGUUCAUAAGGUCUUGUUUCUUGUUUCUUUAAAUGCUUGCUUCACAUUCUUAUGAAGUUGUACUUGGCUUCACAUUCUUAUGUCUAUAUAUAUGCAUGUAUUUACCUUCUCUGGAUUAUUUAAUCAUGAUUUUUAGACAUUUGAUCAUAGCAAUCUGUUUUUUUGUUGCAUCCGUCAUGAUUUCAUAACCAACUUAAUUACAUUUUAACCUCUACUAAUUUUUGUGUGCGUGAUUGGUGCACGAUUCGAAUCACGGCAGAAAUGUCUGUUUAAGAUUUUUUUUGAGAUGUUAUUAUGGAAAGAAUUAGAUCAAGCUGGAUUCGGUUAAACCGUUGAGGAAGGAGUCAUACGACUCCCCAACUCUGUUUUCCCUAGCGCCCGCUGCUCGUCAAACUUAAAUUAUGAGCGGAAAAUUUGGCUAAGUGCCCGACUCUGGGAUUGGACCGUAUAAGGUCCCUCCUAUGGACCCUCCUUGGACUUUAACACGUCAGCUUAUAGCACCAAGUGCAAAGCUCUUUUAUCUAGCCUGUAUCUAUAGUGCUUGUAGAAGGAAGACAUACGACUCCUACCAUAUCCCCGGUAGGCGGUAGGCACAACUCGCCUUCAACAGCGCCUUGAUGUCGACGUCUUCCCCAGUGCCGGUGACUCUCAACACGUCUACAAGCAGUAAAAAGCACCUCUCCUCAUCGGCAUACAGCUCACCAACGUCCACCGUGGUGAUGCGCCCGCCGGCGUCGAUGCGGUUCUUGUAUCGUCCAGAUUUGACGAACUGGACGCGGACGUUAGGACAGAUGCAAUCGACGGAGAUGCGUGACUUAUGCGAUGUGACUGAGAGGAGCCCUCUGAUGCACUGCGGAAAUGAGUCCUCGAUGAUCUCCUCGUUCUCGAUGAAGGAGAACAUGCCGGUGGUGGCCUCCGCGAUGGUGUGCAUCGCCGCUGAAUCCUGGUCAGUGCCGGAACUAAAGGUGUGGCCGACGCGAAUCAAGGAAGAUGACACGAGCACAUUGUAGUCGGUGGCCGCCGCGGACCUUGGAGGCUUGGAUGUAGCGUGUAGCUGUCCUGGCCGUCGGAGAUGAGGAUGACAGCGGAGAUGGUGUCCUAGUAUUGGCGGCCGUCAAUCAUCCUGGCAGCUUCGCGGAGGCCUUCUUUGAUGUUGGUCCAGCCGCAGGUGACGAGGGACUCCACGGCACGCUUGCCGCUUGGACGAGGCCCUUCUGUCGUUGGACACACGCGUGAGACGGCGCGUGGUGGAGGAGAAUGAGACGAGGCUGAGGCGGUGGUCAGGUCCCAGCUUGUUGACGACGAACCCCAUGACCUGCUUCAGCAGGGCCAGCUUGACACCGACCAUGCUUGUGCUGAUGUCGCACCAUCACAAGGUCGAGUGGGGCCGCAGAUGCACUGAAUAGAGGAAGUCGACACUGGUGUUUGCUUGCCAUUGGAAUGUUGCAGAUCAACUCCUUGUCAAUGGCGUGCAUGGUUGCAGAGAUGCAAACUUUACAGCCUUGUACAUCCACCGGCCACCGCUAGUAUGUCUGGACGUAGUGCCUUAUUCUCCAUGUAUACUACUAAUGUAUGAAGAGUCAGAUUAACUAGAAAGCUUUGAGAUUAGUUCUAACACGACAGGUGUCACAGUCUGACAAGGGGCCCUAGCUGGAAGGUUGUGCGGCCCAGCCGCAUAGAAUUUUUUUCCGACGCCAAACGUCAUCCGGAAUCCUGGUAUCCAUCGGUAAUCGGGCUUCAGGGAUUUUGACCCUAGCGUCUGGGGUAAGUGGCCGCGUUGUACACGCCUAGGUUUUCCAAAGAAACCAGAGCGGCGGCGAAAGAGGGCGCCCUACCCUACUGGUCUGGUAGGGGAAGCGAGUCGUCGACGCGGAAGGAAGCCGUGGAGGAGACGGGAAUAGGUCUGAGAUGGCGGGGGUGAGCUCUGACUCUGAGGCGAGGAUAGCGAAUGUAAAGAAGAUACAAGACCGCAUGGCGAUGACAAAGGCCUUCCUCCAGAGACAACAGAAGUUGCCAACGAAGAAGAAGGCGAAUGAUGACGAAUCAGCAGAUCCCAGUUCCACCAAUUUAGUGGCCAUCCAAGAUAACCAUCUCGACAAAGGUAAAUCAGCAUUGGCCAAGAAGACGUCAGAUGAGGAGGCGGUGGAUUACGCUUGGUACCGUCUAAACUGGGAAUCAAAUUGUUGCAAA